AACGAACGCUGGCGGCAUGCCUAACACAUGCAAGUCGAACGAGACCUUCGGGUCUAGUGGCGCGCGGGUGCGUAACGCGUGGGAACCUGCCCUUAGGUUCGGAAUAACUCCCCGAAAGGGGUGCUAAUACCGGAUAAUGUCUUCGGACCAAAGAUUUAUCGCCUUUGGAUGGGCCCGCGUUGGAUUAGCUAGUUGGUAGGGUAAAAGCCUACCAAGGCGACGAUCCAUAGCUGGUCUGAGAGGAUGAUCAGCCACACUGGGACUGAGACACGGCCCAGACUCCUACGGGAGGCAGCAGUGGGGAAUAUUGGGCAAUGGGCGAAAGCCUGAUCCAGCAAUGCCGCGUGAGUGAUGAAGGCCUUAGGGUUGUAAAGCUCUUUUACCCGGGAUGAUAAUGACAGUACCGGGAGAAUAAGCUCCGGCUAACUCCGUG
Molecule: ribosomal RNA, 433 nt
Filed under: uncultured bacterium
Lineage: Bacteria
Description: partial 16S ribosomal RNA
Rfam family: Bacterial small subunit ribosomal RNA
Source: RNAcentral